CUGGCGAAUUUUCUGCUUUUCAAACACAGAAAUUUCCAAUUUUUCUAUUUACAAUGGCCUUAAAUACGCCGGCAUAGUAAUACUGACAUUCAGCCUUUUAUCUCUGACAAAUCCUUACAGUUAGUUUUUAAAACAUUGCUAUGUUGAUGCUCUUAUUUUGAAAUGCAACCGGAUGUUCUGUUAAGAAAGGCAGGAAGAGAAGUCAUGGAGAACCGCUAAUGGCGGACUAGCCUGCCGUUAUUAUAUCUAAAUAAAACACCUUGUACAAUCGGUUAGAACUGUUGGCUGGUGAAACUGAAAAAAAUAAAUUAAAAUCCGAUGACAGAGAAGUAAUCUAGCGAUAUUAAAAACAACAAAAGUAAAAUGACCGACAUUUCGUCCUGGGUCGGGUUUCCCCCUCGGGAUUUCUGCAGUGUUUAUGGGGCAAAACUUUUCCACAAGGUCGAGUUGGUUUGGAUAGCUUCUUUCACCAGUUAAAUUAUAAUUUGUUUGUAUUCGCGUUAUCUUUGUGUGACAGUAAAAUUUCUCUGUGAAAGGGAACGAAUACUUUUUACAGCAUCAUAACUCGAACAGAAACUUUUCUAACUUUUCUAAAGACUGGUAUUUGGUUUACUGGUUAUGACUUGUGAACAUGUAAGAAAACAAUGAAUUUCUAGCUAGAUGCUUGAGUGGGAGAGGUUUUAUUUUUAGGUUGUAUUGUAUGACAUUUGUACAUGUUUAAUUUCUCACCUGGAAUAAAGAGCAGCCCGUGAA
Molecule: long non-coding RNA, 753 nt
Organism: Poecilia latipinna (sailfin molly)
Lineage: Eukaryota; Metazoa; Chordata; Actinopteri; Cyprinodontiformes; Poeciliidae
Exons: 2
Source: RefSeq, a predicted model, not a curated record